AACCGCCGUAUACGGAACCGUACGUACGGUGGUGUGGGGGGCGUGAAGGUUAGUCACCUUCCCCUAUCCCAAU
This 73-nucleotide non-coding RNA is filed under the name Scopulibacillus darangshiensis. The record is from RNAcentral. Lineage: Bacteria; Bacillati; Bacillota; Bacilli; Caryophanales; Sporolactobacillaceae.